This 468-nucleotide ribosomal RNA is filed under the name uncultured bacterium. RNAcentral describes it as "partial 16S ribosomal RNA". It matches the Rfam family "Bacterial small subunit ribosomal RNA", at positions 28 to 507 of the family's 1533-position model. The record is from RNAcentral.
GACGAACGCUGGCGGCGUGCUUAACACAUGCAAGUCGAACGGAAAGGCCCUGCUUUUGUGGGGUGCUCGAGUGGCGAACGGGUGAGUAACACGUGAGUAACCUGCCCUUGACUUUGGGAUAACUUCAGGAAACUGGGGCUAAUACCGGAUAGGAGCUCCUGCUGCAUGGUGGGGGUUGGAAAGUUUCGGCGGUUGGGGAUGGACUCGCGGCUUAUCAGCUUGUUGGUGGGGUAGUGGCUUACCAAGGCUUUGACGGGUAGCCGGCCUGAGAGGGUGAACGGCCACAAUGGGACUGAGAUACGGCCCAGACUCCUACGGGAGGCAGCAGUGGGGAAUAUUGCACAAUGGGCGGAAGCCUGAUGCAGCAACGUCGCGUGCGGGAUGACGGCCUUCGGGUUGUAAACCGCUUUCGCCUGUGACGAAGCGUGAGUGACGGUAAUGGGUAAAGAAGCACCGGCUAACUACGUG